This 137-nucleotide ribosomal RNA is filed under the name uncultured bacterium. Its description in RNAcentral is "partial 16S ribosomal RNA". It matches the Rfam family "Bacterial small subunit ribosomal RNA", at positions 355 to 507 of the family's 1533-position model. The record is from RNAcentral.
UGGGGAAUAUUGGNCAAUGGGCGCAAGCCUGAUCCAGCCAUGCCGCGUGAGGUGAUGAAGGCCCUANGGUUGUAAAGCUCUUUUCUCGGGGAAGAUAAUGACGGUACCCGCAGNAAGAAGCCUCGGCUAACUCCGUG